AAAACUUUCUUGAGCACAAGGUCACCUUCUCUGAACACACGAGGUUUGACCUUCUUAUCGAAUGCUUUCUUCAUUCUCUGCUGAUAUAACUGACCAUGACACAUGGCAGUUAAUCGCUUCUCUUCGAUCAAAUUCAAUUGGUCAUAACGACUCUGAAUCCAUUCAGCAUUAGUCAACUAGGGACUUUGAGGGUAUCAGGCUUCUUUUAUUCUUUUUUCUAUUUGAAAAAUUUUUCCUGAUUUUUGCUUUUACUUAUUUUUCACCCUCUUCUCUCUUCUUUU
Molecule: long non-coding RNA, 281 nt
Filed under: Lathyrus oleraceus (garden pea)
Lineage: Eukaryota; Viridiplantae; Streptophyta; Magnoliopsida; Fabales; Fabaceae
Description: Pisum sativum (pea) long non-coding RNA (PSAT_LNC018326)
Source: RNAcentral